Molecule: long non-coding RNA, 1161 nt
Organism: Gigantopelta aegis
Lineage: Eukaryota; Metazoa; Mollusca; Gastropoda; Neomphalida; Peltospiridae
Exons: 3
Source: RefSeq, a predicted model, not a curated record
GAACAAAUUUUCAAAACGGCAGUGAGCGUUUGCGUCAGUUAACGCAGAGUAAUCGUUUUCUUUACAAACACACGAACGAUAAAUUGUGUGCACGGAACUGAUGUUAUCAGCAAUGCUAUCUCUGUAGCUGACACGAAGCGGAUAUCGUCCUCGUGACACAAGAAUCAAUCUUGUGUUAUAUGCAGACAGAUCUGCUGUGAAGGAAGGCGAUCGAGUACAACUAACAUGUCGUGUGGAUAACGCACAGAACCUGAAUACCUUCGUAUACUUUGAACGAGGAUCAGCUGGACAGCAAAUUUCCAUGUGUCAGAUAAAGCAGCAAGGCUUAAGUUGUUGGAGAACAUAUAAUCCAAACAAUGCAGGCUAUAACUGUCGUUGUGGUAAACAUACACGUCAGUACGAUUAUUCUUCGAAAUAUUAUGAGAUGAUAAUAGACAGAGCGAAUAUUCAAGACACAGGACCAUGGCAGUGCAGAGCUUCAAACAUCGCAAGUAACAGCCUAACAGUUACUGUUCAGAGAAUGUUAUCUGCAGACAGAUAUGUUGUGAAUGAAGGCGAUCGAGUAAAACUAACAUGUCGUGUGGAUAACGCACGGAACCUGAAUACCAUCAUAUACUUUGAACGAGGAUCAGCUGGACAGCAACGUUCAAUAUGUCAGAUACAACAACAAGGCUCAAAAUGUUGGAGAAUAGAUACUCCAAACAAUGCAGGCUAUGAUUGUAUUUGUGGUACACACACAAAUCGUUACGAUUAUUAUUCGAAAUAUUACGAGAUGAUAAUAAAAGGUGCGAAUAUACAAGACGCAGGACCAUGGCAGUGCAGAACUUCAAACAUCGCAAGUAACAGCGUAACAAUUACUGUUCAGAGUGAGUAGCCAUACGAUUGUGAUAUAGACAUAAGUGCUAUUUUAUUACAUCCCAUUCCCUAAACAUUUAGGUAAAACAACUAUACCUUUCCUAAUUAGUGGGCGUUUAGGAAGCUAUGCAUGCGAUGUCAACACGGCAAAUAUGGGGUGUACGUUAGGUGAUACGUUACUGCCCGGUGCCAAUUGGCAUGGUCGUCAAUUGCUGAAGAAAAGUGGGGGGACCGUUUAUGAGAAAUGUUUUUGUUGAGCAACCACCGUUCACCCAGAACAAAUAGACGUCUUUGGUGCAUUCCAAG